GAUCCUGGCUCAGGAUGAACGCUAGCGACAGGCUUAACACAUGCAAGUCGAGGGGCAGCGGGGAGUAGCAAUACUCCGCCGGCGACCGGCGCACGGGUGAGUAACACGUGUGCAACCAACCCCGUACCGGGAGAUAACCCGCGGAAACGUGGACUAAUACCCCAUAACACCUUUCCCCCGCAUGGGGGAGAGUUUAAAAUCCCGAUGGUACGGGACGGGCACGCGCGACAUUAGGUAGUUGGCGGGGUAACGGCCCACCAAGCCGACGAUGU
RNAcentral lists this ribosomal RNA (272 nucleotides) under uncultured bacterium. RNAcentral describes it as "partial 16S ribosomal RNA". It matches the Rfam family "Bacterial small subunit ribosomal RNA", at positions 15 to 282 of the family's 1533-position model. The record is from RNAcentral.